This 253-nucleotide ribosomal RNA is filed under the name uncultured bacterium. Its description in RNAcentral is "partial 16S ribosomal RNA". It matches the Rfam family "Bacterial small subunit ribosomal RNA", at positions 524 to 776 of the family's 1533-position model. The record is from RNAcentral.
UACAGAGGUCCCAAGCGUUGUUCGGAUUCACUGGGCGUAAAGGGUGCGUAGGUGGCCAGGUAAGUUCGGUGUGAAAGCUCGGAGCUUAACUCCGAAAUGUCAUUGAAUACUAUCUGGCUUGAGGGUCGGAGGGGAGACUGGAAUUCUCGGUGUAGCAGUGAAAUGCGUAGAUAUCGAGAGGAACACCAGUGGUGAAGGCGAGUCUCUGGACGACUCCUGACACUGAGGCACGAAAGCUAGGGGAGCAAACAGG